GGCGUCAGCUUGCGGUCCUAACCUCGGCGUUGUUGGCAGGUUCCUGGCGGAACGGAUCUUCCGAAAGCACCAUGGCCUGCAAGCUGACGAGGACGGACAGGAUGGUUGAUAUAUCAGGUUGCCACUGUGCAGCCUGGUCACCCUUUCUCCAGGUACCCAGGAGUGAAAGGCAGACUAAAAUAUAAAUAUUUAUCAUGUUUGUGGGAGAACAGAAAUCGGUUUCAUUAAGAGGGAAGUUUUUUUUUUUUUUCUUCUUUCAACGGAACCCUUAAUAUUCUGCAAGCCCUUGUUGCUUGAUUAACGCAGCCGAUAUCGAUGCUGAUGUUGAUGAUACAGGACAGAUAGGUGAACUUGUACGGCCAAGUCGGAAACCUGUUGAUGUUCUUCUAGGAUAGUCAAAACUGAUUACACUGUAUAGCUAACUAAUCCAGUCAUGAGGGCGAAGAAUGCAAUGCAGAUAAAGCAAAAAGCGUAAAUGAGUGUCGAAGGAAAGAAUUUGGAAUGGAAAUGGAAAUGGAAAUGACUCAAUUUAUAUCCCCCAUUCGUUUCCCCUUCAUUCCUCAUCAUCUGCUUCACCCAACAACAUCGAUGAACCCAUAGCGUAAAUUAACUGCAUCUGCAACACUUAACUCGGGCAACUCACCAAAAGCGCUGUGGACAUGAUCAUAUAGGCACAUGCGGC
RNAcentral lists this small RNA (682 nucleotides) under Histoplasma capsulatum var. duboisii H88. RNAcentral describes it as "Histoplasma capsulatum H88 hypothetical RNA". The record is from RNAcentral. Lineage: Eukaryota; Fungi; Ascomycota; Eurotiomycetes; Onygenales; Ajellomycetaceae.